RNAcentral lists this ribosomal RNA (774 nucleotides) under uncultured Neocallimastigales. RNAcentral describes it as "partial large subunit ribosomal RNA". It matches the Rfam family "Eukaryotic large subunit ribosomal RNA", at positions 20 to 649 of the family's 3401-position model. The record is from RNAcentral. Lineage: Eukaryota; Fungi; Neocallimastigomycota; Neocallimastigomycetes; Neocallimastigales.
UACUAGAGUAGCACUCGCAUAUCAAUAAGCGGAGGAAAAGAAACUAACAAGGAUUCCCCUAGUAACGGCGAGUGAAGCGGGAAGAGCUCAAAUUUGAAAUCUUAAAGGGUUUCCCUUUACGAAUUGUAGUUUAAAGAAGUGUUUUCUGUUGAGGUUUUGGUAAAAGUUCUUUGGAAUAGGACAUCAUAGAGGGUGAGAAUCCCGUAUUUGACCUUUACUUUCAACUUUGUGAUACACUUUCAAAGAGUCGGAUUGUUUGGGAAUGCAGUCCAAAAUGGGUGGUAAAUUUCAUCUAAAGCUAAAUAUUGGCGAGAGACCGAUAGCGAACAAGUACCGUGAGGGAAAGAUGAAAAGAACUUUGAAAAGAGAGUUAAACAGUACGUGAAAUUGUCAAAAGGGAAGCGUUUGACACCAGUGUUGUUUUUCUGAAAAUCAAUUAAAGAACUGUUUAUGCUAAGCUGUUUAGACUUUAUCAGCUAUCUGUUUAGUUUUAGGCUUUUCUUUAAUGCACUUUUCAGUUAACAAGUCAACAUCAAUUUCUUUUGCUGUAAAAAAGCUUGAGGAAGGUGGCUUGAGAUUCGUCUUAAGUGUUUAUAGCCUCUUGCCUAUGCAGUCGGUGAGAUUGAGGUCUGCAGCGUAGAUCCUUCGGGGCUAAAUGCAUUUGUGCUAAGUUAUAGCAUUUUAUAGACAACUUGUUGACUAUGAUUUGUCUUGUAGCUUACUCGCUUAUGUUAUUUUACCUACGCUUAGGAUGUUGAGUAGCGACAUACGCAC